UCACCCUCCUCAAGUGACCAGUGUGGCCAAGUCUCUGUACGGAUCCCUGGGGGACUGUGCCCUGGAAGGAAUCCAGUCCAGCAGCACCAACGGGCACGUUCAAACGCAGCUUGCGACAAGGCCCUUCCUCUGCUUAGGAGCGCCGUCCUCCGGGCUUGCCUCUGCAGAUGUCUUUUGCUCAACAGUGCCCAUCCUUGGCAGAACCUUUGGCUUCUGCUUCUCACCUAGGCGUCGAAAGAGAAGCUUUGAAUCUUAGAGAGCGAGACUAGAGAAGCUCUUCAGGAUACCUACAAUGUGACCACGUGCUGGCAGGAGUGGUUCAUCGAGGCUCUGCUCAUCUCAGUGACCCAUUCAUAUUACAGGACAAAGCCCCUUUCUCGCUGACAGAAUGGAGAACGUGCUGAUGAAGCAAAGGGGAGAAAUGGAUGGGCUACAAAG
This is a long non-coding RNA of Columba livia (rock pigeon), 438 nucleotides long. RefSeq lists it as uncharacterized. The record is from RefSeq and is a predicted model, not a curated record. The transcript has 3 exons. Lineage: Eukaryota; Metazoa; Chordata; Aves; Columbiformes; Columbidae.